Molecule: non-coding RNA, 344 nt
Organism: Macaca mulatta (Rhesus monkey)
Lineage: Eukaryota; Metazoa; Chordata; Mammalia; Primates; Cercopithecidae
Source: RefSeq, a predicted model, not a curated record
AGGUGGUGAUUGACUGAUUCGUGCAUGUCCAUGCAAUUUGGCGCAUUCAGCUGCGUGCUUGCGGAUGUGGAUGUAUUUCACAGAAGCAGCAGCAGCCUGCCUUCCCUUCCCUGGAUUCCAUCUGCUGUGCAAAACAAGAUCUGUAGUCAUUCCCAGCAAGUAGGAAGGCCCUGAGCCAGGCGUGUACCAGAACAUUCGAGAAUCAGCAGAGACCAGUGUGUUUGGAGAGGCGCAAGCAGGAGGAGCAAGUAAUGGAAGAUGAGGUGAGGGAGGCAAGCCGUUGCAGACUCUGCAUGGCCUUUGAGGCCACCUUCAGGUCUGUGCCUUUACUCUGCAUGAUGAGA